GGUUUUGGUUCCGGUGCGUAGGCGAAACAAGCGCACGACGUGGGCGUGGAAGUACGGCAGCUCGGCUAUAGGCUCUGCAGUAGUCUAUUGCAUGGUGGUUCUGGCGACGGUGGGAGAAACGUCGCGAAAUCCAUAGUAUGUAUGUGCGCACACAAAAUAUAAACAGCGGUCGCUCUAUGUUCUCCGAGAAUAGUUCGGUUCCCGGAAUGCAUUAUAAAUUUAUAAUAAUGUGGUUCGCGAAUCGUGACGGUUUGUUUACAUGCACGUCGAUCGUGCACAGUACGACGUUGAUACAUGAUUAGUGGUCAGCAAUGCAAAUUUUAGUAGACAUUCACGGUAGAGCGAAUAAGAGUAUCAGCGUACGCAGUUUUAACUGUUUCAAGACUGGUACCCCUCAAAUACAGCGAACCUUUUUUCAUAUAUUAUACUGUUCACAGCACACAGGACCAUUUGGCAUUUAGCUAUAAUAAAUAAUUUUUGAGUUUAAUAAAA
Molecule: long non-coding RNA, 492 nt
Organism: Rhopalosiphum padi (bird cherry-oat aphid)
Lineage: Eukaryota; Metazoa; Arthropoda; Insecta; Hemiptera; Aphididae
Exons: 3
Source: RefSeq, a predicted model, not a curated record